Etheostoma spectabile (orangethroat darter) is the source of this 143-nucleotide long non-coding RNA. RefSeq lists it as uncharacterized. The transcript has 2 exons. Lineage: Eukaryota; Metazoa; Chordata; Actinopteri; Perciformes; Percidae. The record is from RefSeq and is a predicted model, not a curated record.
GCUUUAUAAUAACAAGGAAAACCUUGCAAAUGCACACAAUGCAAGAGAGAUAAAGAGGCUGGUGCUGCUCAGAUUUGAGAGAAUUUGUCCACAUCUACGGCCUACAAGGAUGAAAUGAUGUCGGAAAGAAUGUACAGUAAAUG